Molecule: ribosomal RNA, 484 nt
Filed under: uncultured bacterium
Lineage: Bacteria
Description: bacterial SSU rRNA
Rfam family: Bacterial small subunit ribosomal RNA
Source: RNAcentral
CGAUUACGGGGUGCUGCAGUGGGGAAUUUUGGACAAUGGGGGCAACCCUGAUCCAGCAAUGCCGCGUGAGUGAAGAAGGCCUUCGGGUUGUAAAGCUCUUUUGUCAGGGAAGAAACAGUGAGUUCUAAUACAGCUUGCUAAUGACGGUACCUGAAGAAUAAGCACCGGCUAACUACGUGCCAGCAGCCGCGGUAAUACGUAGGGUGCAAGCGUUAAUCGGAAUUACUGGGCGUAAAGCGUGCGCAGGCGGUUAUGUAAGACAGAUGUGAAAUGCCCGGGCUCAACCUGGGAACUGCAUUUGUGACUGCAUGGCUAGAGUGUGUCAGAGGGGGGUAGAAUUCCACGUGUAGCAGUGAAAUGCGUAGAUAUGUGGAGGAAUACCGAUGGCGAAGGCAGCCCCCUGGGAUAACACUGACGCUCAUGCACGAAAGCGUGGGGAGCAAACAGGAUUAGAUACCCUGGUAGUCCACGCCCUAAACGAUGA